This 495-nucleotide ribosomal RNA is filed under the name uncultured bacterium. RNAcentral describes it as "partial 16S ribosomal RNA". It matches the Rfam family "Bacterial small subunit ribosomal RNA", at positions 28 to 507 of the family's 1533-position model. The record is from RNAcentral.
GACGAACGCUGGCGGCGUGCCUAAUACAUGCAAGCAGAACGCUGAAGGAGGAGCUUGCUUCUCUGGAUGAGUUGCGAACGGGUGAGUAACGCGUAGGUAACCUGCCUGGUAGCGGGGGAUAACUAUUGGAAACGAUAGCUAAUACCGCAUAAGAGUAGCUGUCGCAUGACAUUUGCUUAAAAGUCGCAAUUGCAUCACUACCAGAUGGACCUGCGUUGUAUUAGCUAGUUGGUGCGGUAACGGCCCACCAAGGCAACGAUGCAUAGCCGACCGGAGAGGGGGAUCGGCCCCACUGGGACUGAGACACGGCCCAGGCUUCUACAGGAGGCAGCGGUAGGGAAUCUUUGGCCAUGGACGGAAGUCUGACCGAGAAACGCCGCGCGGGUGAAGAAGGCUUUCCGAUCGUAAAGCUCUGUUGUAAGAGAAGAACGAGUGUGGGAGUGGAAAGUUCACACUGUGGCGGUAACUUAACAGAAAGGGACGGCUAACUACGUG